Sphaeramia orbicularis (orbiculate cardinalfish) is the source of this 864-nucleotide non-coding RNA. The record is from the annotation of a RefSeq genome assembly. Lineage: Eukaryota; Metazoa; Chordata; Actinopteri; Kurtiformes; Apogonidae.
AACUGCUGCUGUGCAGAGAACAGUUCUCACACUGAAUGUUUAACAUCAGCCACUUUGUCCUGUUGAUUUCAACCUUGUCGUACAGAUGGAACAUUGGCUGUGGAUUCUUCUCACUGCUCUGGGCUUUGGUUCAAUAUCUGUGAACAGUAUCCGACCACGGGAAGUUGAAGUCAGUGAAACAGAAGGAAAAUCUGUUACAUUGACCUGCGACACUGAGAACUCAGACUCCGACAUUGACCUUCACUGGUACAGGCAGCAUUCUGACCUUCAGCCUCCUCACUUUAUCCUCUGGAAAGAAUCACAGAAUUCCCCAUCUCAGUAUAUCCGUGACGGCCGAUUUAAAUCCCAAACACCAGACCAGACCACAGAGCUGACCAUCCCAGUCCUAACCCUGGCAGACACAGCUCUGUACUACUGUGCUCUAGAAACACAGUGAUCCAAAGUGGAGAAGAGGCUGUACAAAAACCUGAACACACAGAUCUGACUACUCUGCACAGAGGAGGGAAGUGGGAUUGAACCCACAGCUUCAUAUCAGAUGGAUUCUGCUCAUUCCUGUUUGAUCACAGUCACUGUGGCUACAGCUGCCAAUCAAACACUGUGGGAGGAGUCACACUCUCCUCAAACACACAUCAGUGCCAAACCAGCUGAUGACACUAAACACACAGAUCCCAGCCUUAUUCUACAGUAGCUUUGGGUUUCCUCUGUUGAGGAGUUGGUGUUUUUCAAACUCUGUGUGCUUCCACCUGUCCCAGAGAAGUGGCAAAACCUCCAACUCAUCUCAUCAACCUUCCCAUGACCAAGUCACACAUGGACACAUUUGUGGAGAAGCUACUAAUGCACUCAUCUCCUCCUACUGUAGCUUGU